RNAcentral lists this long non-coding RNA (760 nucleotides) under Zonotrichia albicollis (white-throated sparrow). RNAcentral's name for it is "lncRNA (ENSZALG00000014205.1)". The record is from RNAcentral. Lineage: Eukaryota; Metazoa; Chordata; Aves; Passeriformes; Passerellidae.
UCUUGAUUUGUCUUUACAUAAAUGAGGAAAGCACUGUGAAUAAUUUAUUGCAUUGUUUUAAUACUUGUUUAUUCUUGUUUUAUAAGUUGUGGUGGGAGACUCUUUUACAUUUUCCCCUUUGUUUUGUCAUUCUAACCAUGUAGCUUGGCUUCUGCUUCUCAAGGAACUCUAAAGGGAAUAAAAUAACCCUAAAGUAUGGAUUAUCUCUGCUGUUGGAGUUUUGAAAUCUCAGGACCCAAGAUGGAACAUGGGGCAAAAACUGAUGCUGUGCUCCAGAAAUCUGAACUUAAGUCCAAGUGCCAGCAUGGACUUUUACCUCUAUGGGACUUAAUGAACUUGUCAGGAAAGCUAAGCUGCUGGCUGUUGCUUCAGCUGACCUUCUCGACAUCUCAGAGGACUGUCUUGGAAACACCGGGUUUGGAAAGCUUUGAGUAAAAGUUGCUGGUCUUCACUCUGCUCCUCAGGUGAGAUACAGAAGCAUGAUAUGAAAGCAAAAUUCAUAGUGUUGUGGGAAGUGAGUGCAACCAGGAACUGGCCUUUUGCAGUAAUGAAACUCAGAAUCACAAACUGGAUUCUGAGAAACUGUAGUGCUCAGCCACAGGAGUGACCAUGCAUAAAAUUGAAGAACUUUGAAAAGUAGAUACACAGUUAUACUGGAGAGAAAACCACUACUUCCACUACUGAAAACAAAAAUUCCAGGCAACCCUCCUCCUCUACUUCCCGUCUAGAAUUGACUUUUAGUUUGUAAUUUUUGUGUCCC